Molecule: ribosomal RNA, 473 nt
Filed under: Enterobacter hormaechei
Lineage: Bacteria; Pseudomonadati; Pseudomonadota; Gammaproteobacteria; Enterobacterales; Enterobacteriaceae
Description: bacterial SSU rRNA
Rfam family: Bacterial small subunit ribosomal RNA
Source: RNAcentral
AUUGAACGCUGGCGGCAGGCCUAACACAUGCAAGUCGAACGGUAACAGGAAGCAGCUUGCUGCUUUGCUGACGAGUGGCGGACGGGUGAGUAAUGUCUGGGAAACUGCCUGAUGGAGGGGGAUAACUACUGGAAACGGUAGCUAAUACCGCAUAACGUCGCAAGACCAAAGAGGGGGACCUUCGGGCCUCUUGCCAUCGGAUGUGCCCAGAUGGGAUUAGCUAGUAGGUGGGGUAACGGCUCACCUAGGCGACGAUCCCUAGCUGGUCUGAGAGGAUGACCAGCCACACUGGAACUGAGACACGGUCCAGACUCCUACGGGAGGCAGCAGUGGGGAAUAUUGCACAAUGGGCGCAAGCCUGAUGCAGCCAUGCCGCGUGUAUGAAGAAGGCCUUUCGGGUUGUAAAGUACUUUCAGCGGGGAGGAAGGCGAUAAGGUUAAUAACCUUGUCGAUUGACGUUACCCCGCAGAAGA